Molecule: long non-coding RNA, 30292 nt
Filed under: Ananas comosus (pineapple)
Lineage: Eukaryota; Viridiplantae; Streptophyta; Magnoliopsida; Poales; Bromeliaceae
Description: long non-coding RNA (ACOM_LNC026474)
Source: RNAcentral
CUCACCCCUCUCUCUCUCUCUCUCUCUCUCUCUCUCUCUCUCUCUCUCUCUCUCUCAUCAAGUUCCACCACUUUCACUUCCAUGCCUCUUUUUUUUUUAUUUGAAGUGUUUGUCUCUACCAUCUGAUUCUUCAAUGAAUAUGAACUUAAAUGUCUUUACUGUUUGGUGUCUGGAGUAUAUAGUGGCUAAAUAGUAAGCUUCUUGUUCUUGUCUAUCCACAGUGCUUUGGAUGAGGGUGUAGCAGAUAGAUCAUGAAGCUAAAAACACUCGAACUUUCUUUUACUUCCUAUUUAAGAAUUUGAAUCAUGAUGAAAAGCAUUUUCAUGGCUUUAUGAAUAUUCACUAAUAAGUGAUUCUUCACAAAUGAUAAUAACUGUUAUUACAACACCUUUUUAUAUUUUUCACUCCUUAGUAUGUUAACUAAAACAUUGUAUUUUCGGUACUUCCAAGUUGUUAGAGAAAAUAAUUCUUUUGCAUUAUAUCAGAAUGCGAGAUCCUAAAUUUUUGAACACUUUUAAGUGUUUAGUUAGGUUUAACUUAAUUUUCUUUCAUUAAUUUAUUUCAAAAGUCCUGUAUACCCAAGAAAAAGUCUUGAAAUUUUAGAUAAUUGAAAUACGUACCGUUCUCUGAUAGCUUAAAGUUUCAUAGAUAGAAAACAGUUAAUAGUUUCACAUGAUGCACACAAUGCUCAUUCUUUUGUUUUUUUUCAUUGAUUUCUGCAGGGUUUCAGAAAGAUAGUGGCAGAUAGGUGGGAGUUUGCCAAUGAGUUCUUCAAGAGAGGAGCCAAGCACCUGCUCUCAGAGAUCCACAGGAGAAAAUCCUCUCAACCUUCUUCUCACCAUUACUACCACUCUCCGCCGCCGCCGCCGCUGCCGCCGCCUUCUUCUUAUAAUCACCACAACCCCCACCCAGAAGAUCAUAUGAGCAUCAGUUGGAUCAAUGAUCCCUCAGCACUGCUCCCUCCUCCUGCUCAUUCCAAUGUUGGUCAUGAUCAUAACAACGCCUCCGAAUUCCUCUCGGCGCUCUCCGAAGACAACCAGCGGCUGCGGCGGCGCAACUCGGUGCUCCUUUCGGAGCUCACCCACAUGAAGAAGCUCUACAAUGACAUCAUCUACUUCCUCCAGAACCAUGUCACCCCUAUUUCCCCAAGACCCAGUAAUUGCAGCAGCAGGAUCCUUGAGCUGGGCCCUUCAACUCAAUACCACCCUCCUCAUCCUCCUCAUCCUCCUCCUCCUCCUCUCUACAGGAUCCGUAAUUGCGCGAUGGAGAUAGCGGAGGAAGAGGAGGAGGAGGAGGAGGAGGAGGAGGAGGAGACCGAUGGCGGCGCCGUGAAGCUCUUUGGGGUUCCAAUUCAUGGUAAGAAGAGGUUGCAUGAAGAAACAGCUACUGUACCAGAUGAAGAAUCUGAUGAUCAUGGGAGCAUUUAGGAUACUAGGAGUAGUAAUAAUACUAGUAUUUAGUAGUAGUAGUAGUAGUAGUAGUAGUAGUAGUAAGAAAGCAUUUAGGAUUGCUUUAGUUAAGAGGAAGAGUUAGAUGUAUAUAGGCUUGGCUUAUUUGUUUGAGGGAGAGUAGCUAGUGAAGGAGAAAAAAAAAAAGAAAAAAAAAAAAAGAAGGUUCCAAAAAAAGCUUAUAUUGGCCAAGCCAUUCUUAUCCAAGUCUUAUUUGAGUAAGCCUCACAUCAAAAGAAUCUCUCUCACUCUUGUUUCUUACUUUGAGGAUUAUUGUUUUUUUGAUUUUUUUUUUUUUUCGUUGGUUUGGAUCAAGACUAACUAGUACUCAUUUGGUCUUUUUAGUCUUUAUUUAAAGGGAUAGUCAUGUACUCUUCCAUCUUUGGAUCACUAAAGAUAGGUUUGGUGAUUUAUAUAAGGCUAAAUUACACUUUUGGUCCUCAAAACUAUGAGGCUUAAAAUAAUUUUAACCUCAAACUUAAAUUUGUUAUAAUUUCUAACUAGAAUAUUUUAAGCUUGUUAUAAUUAAAUCUCAUCCUACAGUAUAGUUUAGCUGACUCGAUAAUAGUCACGUGCUACUCGUAUGAUAGUGAUAUAAUGAUAAUCACAACAUAUGUGACAAAAAUUAUACAAUUAGAUACUAAAUUAUUGUUAUAUCAGUGACACAUUAUUAUCUUGUCAACUAAAUUGAAUUGUGAAACUUAAUUGUAAUAGUCUGAGAUUCAGCCACGGUCUCGAUGAAGAAUCAUGAUCAUGUAAGCAUUUAGAGGAAAAGUAGGAGAGCUUUUAGAAGCUUAGUUAAGAGGAAUAUAUAUAGAUGCUUAUAGGCUUGGUUUAAUUGUUGAGAGAAUAGCUAGUGAAGAAAGAAAAAAAAAAAAAAGAGAAAAAAAGAGAGGCGUAAAGUAAAGAAAAAAGAAAAAAAAAAAAAAAAAGUUUAUUGGCCGGUAGCCAAGCCAUUCAUGUCCAUCCAAGUGUUACUUGGAUAACCCUCACAUCAAAAGAAUCUCUUUCUUGUUUCUUGUUGAGGAUAUAUAUAUACUCUCCUUUUCUUUUCUUUUUUUUGAGUAAAUUACAGUUUUGGUCCUCCAACUAUGAGUACUGUGUCAUUUUCGUCUUCAAAUCUUAAUUUAUUAUAAUUUUUUGAUUCAAACUUGUGGAAAUAUCAAGUCUCGCAAUCCAACUUAGUUGACGAAAUAUUUAUGUGUUACUAAUAUGAAAGUAAUUACAUAUUAGUGCUGUAAUUAAUGAUGCGGUAAUAAUUAAGAUGCCACGUCACUUUCAAAUUAGUGAUGGUCACUAUUCAGUUUACUAAAUUAGACGGAUAUUUUUUAUAACUAAUCCUAUCAAUUUUUAUAAUUAUAAAAAUAGUUUUCUUAAAAAAAUAAUUAUAAAAUUGACCUUUAAAUGCGGUUAAUGAUUCACCACAUUCAUAACUUCUAUUUAGCAGUAGAAAAAUAAUAAAAGCGGUGAAUCAUUCACCGCUUUUACCAUCGUAGAAUUAUAAUAAAAAGGAAGAAAAAGAAAGAAAACAGUGAAUAGUUCACCGCUUUUAAAAGUAGUGAAUCAUUCACCGCUUUUAUAAGACUAUAUCUACGAAUAAAAUUUUAACAGAUUUAUUUUUAAAAUAAAAUUUUAGAAGAUGACUAUUGAACUAAAAACCCCAAAUUAGGCUGUAGCAUGUGAAACUUAAUUAUAACAAUUCAAAAAAUUUAAAUUAAAUAUUAUAAUAAAUUUAAGUUUGAGAACCAUGAUGUCAUGCACCUCACAGUUUGAGGCCCAAAAGUGUAUUUUAUUCCUCUUUUAUUUUUUGGAUCAUGACUAAGCAGUACUAGGUUGAUCUUUUAUUAUGGUACUCUCUAUCUUUUAAGAGCCUGCUGUGCUCUGCCAUCUUAAUUUUGGUCAGUUAGUGCAGUUUUGGGUAAUUUAAAUACAUGUUCUUCAUUUUUUUUAGAAAAUUAAUUUUAGAAGAGUUUUGUAUCUUCUCAUCUCUUUAUUAUUUAUUUUUUUAAAAAAUAAAUUUUACAUAUCAAAAAGUACAAGAGUGAACAGUAAAUUACUUGCAUUAAUUAGUUCAUCAAAAAUAUUUACUGAACGAUGUGAUCUUUAGGAACGGCGUAAUCUUUAGGAUUGGUAGCCUACCGGUGGGUAAUUUAGGAGGUCAGGAAUCGCGUGAUCUUUAUGAAGACCCACGUGAUCUUUAUGAAGACCCAACCGGACCCCUUCUUUGUAGCUUAUAAGAUUAAGCAGCUGACGAAUCUUUGGAAGCAAUUUCUACUAGGUAAUUGACGACGCGCUUGUAGUCGGUAUGUUUUUGUUUUGCUUUGUUUUUUAUUUUUUGUCCUUUUUUCUUUUUGCCCCCUCCGAGGCCUAUGUUGCUUCACCCCUGUAGCUUAGUUCACCUUUUCGAUGAAUGAAGCGGGUAGCGUGCUACCUAUUUCUCAAAAAAAAAAAAUUUAUUGAACAACAAAAUACAAAAACUUGAAAAUAAAUUUUCUUUUGCUUCCAAAUUAUUUUAAAAUAAAUUGGUCAUCCAUCACUUAAUUGAUUGCAUUGCAAGCUAACAAACUAUAAUAACUAAAAAAAAAAAUCUUUCUUUCAAUAGAUCAAAUUAUAAAACUUAAUAUUUUAAAAAAUAAAAAAAAAUAACAACGAUACCAAACAAGGCCUUAAUCUUCCUAAUUAAGUGUUUUGUUUUUUUUUCUGGGUCAUAAAAGUCCAUUUUGAAUAUAUAUUUUUGAGAAAUGAAAUAAAUUAAAUAUCAGUAACAAUUUUAAUUGGUCUCUCCUUUUUUACAGUUUUACUAAUAUAAAUAUUAUGUGUAUACAUAUCUAAUUAUUACAAUAAGAAAUGCUAUUUGUACAUCAACUUAAGUGAACAAUGCAUAUUUUACAACACCUUACUCUAGGAUUUAGAAUUUUCUUUCGGUAUUUAGUAUUAAAAAAUUUAAAAAUAAUAAGACUAGUGUGAAAAAGUUGACCUUGGACCGCGUUGCUGUAACAUAUAUACAAUCGAAAAAUUUGACAUACAAACUAUGUAUCACGGACACUUUUGUAAACCUCGUGUGUUCGUGUCGGACGCGCGCGUGUCCAUGUCCGACAUCUAUCCGAUGUGGACACUUUUUCGACACCCAUUUUAUAUUGAUCCAUAACGCAUCCAAUUAAAAAAUAUAUAUAUCUUCUUUUUUUUUUAACUUUUUCUAUGCAUAAAUAAUCUAAAAUGAUAAAUAUUUUAACUUUUUUGAUGAAUGCAUAUAUUUUUUUUUUGAAAAUAUAAAUAAAUUAUGUAUGGUGAAGAAUUUCGUUUCUUAAAAUAUAUGAAUUAUUAAUGAAAAUUUUACUAACUUUCAUUCGUACGAGAAAUACAAUAAUAUUUUAUCAAAAUUAAUAUUUCAUACAUAAUAGAAAUAUAUUAUUAUAUUAAUAAUAUUUUAUUUUAUUAGCAAUGUCCAUGUCGUAUUUUUUUGGAAGUUGCCAAGUCGCGAAGUCCAAAUCGUGUCGUGUCUCGUGUCCUGUAUUAGUGUCUGUGACGCCUAACAUACAAAUAAUAUUGCUCUGUUAACUUUGUAAAUUUUGUGUACCUAAUAAAUGUAAAAUUGUACUGAAGAGCUACAUAGGUAAAAUUAUAAAUACUAAUAGAAGAGUAUUUCUUAGAUUCAAUCACUAGUCAACAGGGAUUUUUAUGAAAUAAAAACUUUAAAGGUUACAAUAUUUUUUUAGAAAAUAAUCUUUGAUAUAUAUAUAUAUAUAUAGAGAGAGUUGGACUGGGCUACUAUUAGUAGCAAAAUUUCAUUGUUGCUACCAGUUUUUUAGCCUUUGGAUCAAUUCUUUUCAUUAUUUCUAACCAUUAGAUUAAAUACUAUAACUCAGUGGGGACCACUCAACCCUAGGGGGAUCACUCAACUCUAACUGACUAAUAUCAUCCUGACCCUACAAUUUUUCAUCCAAGGAUUAAAAACUUGAUAGCAAAAAGAGUGUUUUACUAUUAAUAGUAUUCCAGCAUAAUUCUCUCUCUCUCUCUCUCUCUCUCUCUCUCUCUCUCUAUAUAUAUAUAUAUAUAUAUAUAUAUAUAUAUAUAUAUAUAGAACUAGGCUGGAAUACUUUUAGAAGCACCAACCCCUUGGUGCUUCUAAGUUUCUACCCCUUGGAUCUACUCCUUAAUUACUUAUAGACCUUAGAUCAAACAAUAUUCCACCUACCACCACCUACUUCCACCUACCACUAUCAUCCCAACCCUACAUCUCUCCAUCCAAAACCUAAAAACUCAAAAGCACCACUCCCUUGUUUUCGAUGAUAGGACGUUCGUUUCGACGAUCGGCUCUGUUAGGUAUGAUCUACCCUAUUGGAACUAUCUAGAAACCAAAUUUUAGAUUUUUUUUGACAUCAUUUACUAAGCGAUCAAAAGGUCUAAAAAAUGACUAUUUUAACGAUCGAUGUGGCACAUUUUUAAGUUCAACGGUGUAGAAGUAUCCAAAUUACAUAAAAAUUUAAUAGAAAAUUCUACUUAACAUCAGUAGCAAGAUCAAUACUUCCGAUUUAAAAGUUGAAUCCUUUAUCACUAUUUUUUAUGAGAUUUUUAUUUUCAACCGUUCAUUUUGAGACUACUCGUUCACUAGACAAAUGAAAUCAAAAAAUUAUGAAAUUUGGUUUCUAGAUAGUUCCAAUAGCGUAGAUCAAGUUUAAUGGAACCGAUCGCCGAAUCGGACGUCCCAUCAUUGAAAACAACUUAAAAGCACGGGGCCUCCCGUACUUUCGAAAGCAUAGGAGCCUAGCUCAUAUAUAUAUACAUAUAUAUAGAGUUAGGCUGGUAUACUAUCGGUAGCACGAAUGCCUCCGUGCUACCAAGUUGUUUUCAAUGAUGCGGCUUCUAAAUUGACGAUCGGCUCCGUUAGACUUGAUCUACACUAUUAAAAGUAUUUGAAAACUAAAUUUCAUAAUUUUUCGACAUCAUUUACCUAUCAAACGAGUAGUCUAAAAAUGAACGGCUGAAAAUAAAAAUCUCAUAAAAAACAGUGAUAAAGAAUUCAAAUUUCAAAUCGGAAGUAUUGGUCUUGCUAUUGAUGUUAAGUAGAAUUUUCUAUUAAAUUUUCAUCUAAUUUGGAUACUUCUACACCGUUGAACUUAAAAACGCAUCAUAUCUACCAUUAAAAUUGUUAAUUUUGGAACCUUUUGAUCACUAGCCAAAUGAUGUCGAAAAAUUAUGAAAUUUAGUUUCCAAAUACUUUUAAUAGUGUAGAUCAAGUCUAACGGAGCCGAUCGUCNNNNNNNNNNNNNNNNNNNNNNNNNGGUACCUUAAUGUAAAUUAAUUUUUUUUUUCUAGAGAUUUUAUAAGAAUAAUUAAAUAGAGGGUGAUACAUGAGAUUUUAAUGCACAAGGUUUCUUCUAAAAUUUUAUUCUAAAAUUAGACCCGUUAAAAUUUUAUUUGUAAAUAUAGUUUUUGUUUUGCCACGUGGGUGCCAGCACGGCGGGGAGCGAAAAAAAAAUACAUGAAAACGAUGAAUGGUUCACUGCAUUCGUCAAAUUUUUUACGGUCCUAUGAAAGCAGUGAACGGUUCACUGUUUUUAAAAACGAAUAACCAUUCACUGCUUUCUUCCCAUUUUCUUCCAUACCACCUCUUCUACGUCUCCAUGACGGCAGGUUCGUUGGCGAUAGGGGGUGCGUCGACAACGGCGCUGUGGUGAAAAGAGAUAGAGGAAGAGAAAGAACGAUGAAAAAAUGAGAGAGAAGAAGAGAAAGGUUCCAAAGCAGGUGCAACGGCCGAUGCAAUGACAGCAGCGACGACGGCGGCGGCAGCGGCGGCAGAGGGGGGGUGUGAGUGAGAGCAAGAUAAAGAGAACAUAGAGGGAGAAAUGAAAGAAUGAGAGAGAGAAUCAGAGAGGGAAUAUGGUGAAAUAAUAAAGACGGUGAAUGGUUCACCGUCUUUAAAAAUAGUUUUAUUAGUUUUGGGAGAAGUUAUAAAAACGGUAAAUAAUUCGUCACAUUUAAAUGCAUUGAUUUAUUCACUACUUUUAUUAUUUAUUUUUUCAAAACUUCAAUCUGACAUAUUAAGAGUUCUAUUUUUACCAGUGAAGGUACCCGCGCGAUGCGAUGGAUCGAUUUCAUAGAAGUAGAUGAUCAAUUUUCAUAGAAGUGGUAAAUCGAGAAGUAGUUGAUAGUAGCAGAAAUGAACAAAUGAGAAAAUAUAAACAGUUAGCAAUAAUUGGUGGUACACAAAUAUACCAACAGUUAAGAACCAAUAGUCAGUAGUAAUAAUGAACAAAGCAGCGCAUUAGCAGUAAACAAAAACAUAUAGUUGAGGAGAAGUAAACAAUGGAGCAAUUGAAGAACCCCCAAACCAGAUCUAAAACAUCAAAACCAAUCUAGUAACUUUACAUUAGGUAGAAAGUGAUGCAUAUCUGGAAGCUUGAGUGUUCUUGUUACCCAGUCAUCACUUCGAUCAACGGCAUUGCCUGCGCCAAGAUUGUCGUCCUCCAUGUCUACCACCACCACGCCUGUGCCGCUGGCUCAUCCACCUUGUCUUCCUCCACCGUACGAUCCAACCCUUAUUGCUUCGGACCCUAUGCCCUCGUGCGUCACACUUGCCGCACCCACCAAAGGUUUCUCACUGAUGGCGGGGAGGAUGGGUCUAGCAACUCCUUUUUCAGCGACGGCAAUAGCAGCGACAGCCUCUUCGGUAGCAGCGGGGCGGCGGAGGGUGGGGCUCUAGCGACGGUGGAGUGGGCAUGUAGGAGCGUGUCAAAUCUAAAGAGAGAGAGAGUGAGAGAGAAAAGAUGGAAGACGACAUAUCGUAAAAUUGCAUAGUAAAGAAAUUAAAAAUAAGAAGAAUGCGGACACAUUAAUUAUAAAAUAACGGAUAGGAAUGUAAAAAGGUGGCAACACUUCAUAGUAACAAAAUAAAAUUUUUGAAAGUGAAACCUAUUCUAAUAUAUAAUUUAAAUAAGAAUAUAAAAAGAUGGAUCAAAAUAAAUUCGUAUACAUUUGAAGGUAUUGACACUAUCAUUAUUUUAUUUAAUUGAAUCCACAAAUAUAAAAAGAAUCAAUGCUAUUUUGUAAAAGAAUUUCUCUUUUUUAUAGUAUGAAUUUUAUAUUCACAAUUCACUCUUGAUGUGUUAAAAAUAAAAUUAUAUUGUUCAUAUAGGGUUGUGGAUUUUAAUUAGGUCUUUUAAAACUUUUUAAAAAAAACCAAAAAUACUUUUUGCAAUGUUCAUGUCAGUUACCUUGUACUUAAUGCACAAUUAAUAUGUUUCUCAAUAGUAUUAAUUAAGUUAUCUAAUAAAAUCUAAGAUUCAUCAGUUUCAUACAUUUUCUUAACUUUCUAUUAGCAUUAGUCAUUAGCAUUAACCUAUUAUCAGCUCAUGCAGCUUUCAUAUAGUUUUAUAGAUAAUUAUUUUUUAAAAAAAUUAUUUUUGUAGUUGUAAAAAUUGGUAGGAUCAUUUAUAAAAAUAUUUAGGGUGACAUAUACUAUUACAUUAGGGACGUGUUUGGUUCGCUUCUUUUUCACCCUGUAAUCGGAAUCGGAAUGGGUGAAUCCGUUUGUGGGUGUUUGGUACGCGGGAGUCUCAUUCUGAUUCUGAUUCCCGAAUGGAAUGAGAAUUGAAUCCGGACGGAAUUGAUAUUUAUUCGGAUUAAAUUUAUUUUUUUAACUUUUUUAAUUAAAAUAUAAGUUAAAAUUUAAAAAUUAAAUAUAUAAAUUUGAACUUAAAUUAAAAAUUAAAAUUUAAUCAAGUAUUUCGAACCUAACUUAUGAAUUUGAAUUUAAAUUAAGUUUGAAUUUGAAUAAAUCAAAAUUUAGUUUCAUAUUUUGAAUUAUCCACUCAACUUCAAAGUUUAAUUUGUUUAAAAAAAUAGAUUUAAAAUUUUGACAUUAUUUCAAAAUUUUGAUGUAAAUUUUUAAUAUUUAAUAUUUAAUUUGAAUUUAAAUUAAUAUAUUAUAAAGAUAACGUUAGUAUAUUAAUUUGAUUACGUUUUUAAUAUCCACCUGAACCAAACACCGACAAUAGGAAUGAUUUAUUUUGAUUCCGAUUCAGGUGAUGAACCAAACAAAAUUAGGUAAUGAGUCAUUCCGAUUCCGAUUCCAGCUUAUUUUGAUUCCGAUUCCGAUUCCGAUUCCCACGCCGACUUCGAACCAAACACGCCCUAGAUCUCUUGGUGGUACAGUACUGCAAAGCUAGAAUCCAAACAUUCUGCAGAAAAAUAAUUAAUGCUGCAAAUAAUAAUCAGAGCAUUGGAUGCUUCUUCUGUUCCAUCAAAUGAUUAAUUUGGAGACUUUUUUUUCUUAAAAAAUAUAUAUAACAAGCUAAGGUGAGGUAUCAAACUUUUACAUUGGAGAGAUGAUGCAUUGCAAUAUUAUUGCAAUGCAAAGCUUUGGAAGUGAGUUUGCUCACUCAUCAUAUAAGCACAAGAUGAGGGUUGUGAUUAGCGAUGCAAUGGGUACGGAUACUCGAAAUUUUUUUUUCUGAAUUCGAAUCCGAACUGAGAGGAUUUAUUCGAUGCUAAAAAGAUAUAGUUUCAAUAUAUUUCAGAUAGGAUAGUUCGUUUUGUCAAUCUAUAAUUUGGAUAUUUUGUUGGUUCCUUUUUAAGUUUAUCUUUAAUUCAACUUAAUUUUAUUAACUGUUGGAGGAGUUAAAUGGGUACUUAGCCAUAUUAUGAAGGGAAUAUUAGCAAUAUAGAUAGUUUUGAUAUUUUCUCUUAUUUUAAAGGGUAUUUUUCACAUUGGCAAUUUUAGAAAAGCUUUGGAUAAUCAGGGACGAACGAAAGUAGGGAUGUCAAUGGGUCGGAAUAAAGACGGCUUUUCAAAAAUCCGAACUCGAACUCAACUAUCGAAUCCGAAAUCUGAACCCGAACCCGAAUCUAAAGAAUUUUAAAAAUUCAUAUCCAAAUCCGGAUCUGGCCAAAAACCCGAAACUCGAACUCAAAUCCGAACCCAAAAACCCGAAUCCGAAAUAAUUAUUUUUCUUUACAAUAUUUCAAUACAUAUUACAUUAAAUCUAAAUUUUUAAAAUAUAAGUUCAAAUAUAGCAUCAAACAUUUAUAUAUAUUAUAUAACUUUAAAAUCAAUUCAGUUUCUGGUUGGGUUUGGAUUCGGGUUAGGUACAGUCAAAAUCCAUACCCAAAUUCAAAUCCGUCAAAUUUUCGUUUUUGAUAUCCAUAUCCGAAACUAUUUAUGUUUAGCAUAGAGUAAAUUCGCUCUAUUUGGAUUUGGGUUCAGAUGAAUUUUCGAAUAUUCGUAUCCAUUGACAUCCCUAAUUUACAAAAAUGUACUUCUAAAAUUAACCCAAAUGUUUAUUACCUUAUUAUAUCCAUGUUGAGUGGCCUUGGACUUGUCACAUAUAUGAUGGAAAUUGGUAACUUAAGUGCUCCAUUUUCUCUACUAUAUGGGCCAAGUUGGGGGCUUCCAAUUGGGCUUGAGAAAAGAGAAUAAAGAACUUGGGCUUGCCAACAUUGAUUAUCUAUUUAAAUACUCAAAUUGAAUUUGUAAUAAUGAUAUGUUUAAUACUCCAAACCUCUUAGAGUGAAGCCUAUAAAAGAAGAGGAAAAAAAGAGAAAGUAAAAGGGAUAUGGUUGUUUAAACAAUAAAUCUAUGCAUGUGAAAGUUAAGUUUCCUCAACUUUUUGCACGAACAGAGUUAUUUUUUUGUAUCAACUGAUUGAGUUUUGAUUAUUUCAACAGUUGGUAGAAAUAUUAACCUUCAGUAUAUAUAUAUAUGAUGUAGGGCUGUCAACAUGUCGGUUCCGGAGUGUUUCUGGCAAAAUGCUAAGCCGAAUCUUAAUAAAAUUAUAAUUGAAUUCGAACUCAUUGGAUUUUUAUUUUUUAUACUCAAAAUUGAAACCUUAUUCAUUUCGUAUCGGUUAAACUCAUCCUUAUUAUGAUUCAGGUUGGGAUAAAAUCUCUUAUAUCCAUCUCUAUUGACAUUGAUGUGACUAUUAUGUCACUUUUAUAUAUAUAUAUAUANNNNNNNNNNNNAUAUAUAUAUAUGUUCUAGAAGAGAAUCUCCUUUCGGGCUUUUAAUUAGGACCUAGUGCCCCUAUCUAUUACAAAGGCAACAAAUAAAAAAUAAAAAUAAAAAUGUUUAAAAAUAAAAUAAAAUUUUUUCUAUGUAAUUGGAUGGGUUGGACUUGGCUCCACUGCUUUAAAAUCAUUUGGAGAGAAGCCUUUGACACAUGGCUGGAAACUAUGGAGUAAUAAUAUCCAACAUGCAAUCCAAAUCCACAAGCUUCUCUCACAGGUGGCUAAAUAUUAACAACAUAAAAUAAAUAAAUAAAUAAAUAAGUUAGGGAUGUGCCAAUACUAAUUGACAACAUGCAUGAUUCCCCAACUUGCUUGAAAAGAAUAGGCCAAGUGAAAAUUUUAUGAAUAAAAAAGAGAAAAUUUUAAAGAUUAGAAAUCCAAGCUGUUGGCUCGGAUUCUCCGUUAGAACUUGACCUCCUAAAACACGCCAUGUUCGGCCGCUUAAUUCGGACCGAAUUUGGAUGAGCGCGACUCAGAUACAAAUAAAUGGUCGAAUCAUGAAAUCUCCGUGGUAGUUCUCUUAACAGAUACUAAUAAAUGGUCGAGACCGCCUGCCUCAACUUUCAUCAAUGGCUAAAACUUCGUUCUCUUGAUUUGAAAUUAUCUUUUGCCAAAUGUUGAGCGGCCAAGAUCAUCCGUCACCCUUUCAAUCCAACGGCCGAAAUUUCGCGUCAACAAGUCUGUACUGUCUGUUUGGACUAGCUUCUGAAGCAGCUUAUCUAUUACUUAUAGAAAUGAAUAGAUAGAUGUCCAAGGAUAUAUAAGAAGUUAUAAGCUUUUCGAAGAAUUUGAAGCAAAAGUUUGUGUACCAAAUUUGGAAUAUUUUACUCAAAUAGUUAUACGCAAACUCCACGGCAUGGGACAUUGUCUAGCAUGAAGCCCAACAAACUCUCUAUGAUCCCUAAUUUAAGGAUGUUAAUUGACCCCACGAAACCCACCUAACAUGAUCCAAAUCCAACAAACCUAUUAUAUUUGGAUCCUACCUUUUAUCCUAGGCUCAAUUCAAGUGAGCUGAAAUAAUAUAUUUACAUAAUACCUUCUCGCUUUUGCACUUAGGUCUUAUAAAUAUACUAAUCCGACCAGCUGAUACCUUUAUCCGCAAUUCACGUUAAACAUAUAGAACAAUUUUUUUUUUAAGGAAAAGAAAUAAAUACUUUUAAUGAACUUUAGUAAUGUGACAUUAGCCCCACUUUGGUUUCCUUAGCAAGUGAAAUGCACUACAUCUUAGGAGGCCAAUAAUUUGACACCACACAAUUAAUUCCCCCAUAAUCACCAAAACCUAUUGGCCCUUUUUUUUUAUAUUAUUAUUAUUAUGUCCCUUUGGGCAAACUCUUCUUUCAUCUCUUGUGUAGGCCACUUAACAUUUUAUUGACCAAUUUUUCCUUUUUGUGGAUUCCAAAGGGGAUUUGGUGACAACACAACAAGAUCAUGAUGGUGACUUGCUUCAUUAGUGGAUUGGUCUCUCUAUUUGUGGGAUAUUUUUUUCUUUUUUUUUUUUUCUUUUUUUUAAUUUGCUCAUCCACCACUUGUAGUGCAUCUAAGAUUUGGAGGAUCAAAGAAAAAGUUUAGUUCAAGAUUCCCCACCAAUCUUAUCUCAAGCUUCAUAUGUAAACCUAUCCUUAGCAGAUAAUCAAGCAAAAAGGUAGAAUUUUUUUUUUUUUUUUCACUAGCAAAGUAUUUGGGCCACAAUAUUUCAUUAAUUCCUAACAAAAAUUUAGGUUUUAAGCAUUCAUAUUUUAGAUCGGUAAAAGCAUACAAAACUUAUCUGAACUAUAAAUCAUUUUGAAUCGGCUAUCUAAUCUUUAAAAAUUUUAAUUUUUCUACCAAACUUUCGAAAUUAUUAGAUUUGAGUCAAUCAAUAACACUGACUUUAAAAUUUAAGUUAAUUACUUAUGUUAAUGAACUUAUAGUUGCGAAAAUUGUAUAAAAUAUAGUAAUUAAAUCUGUAAAAAUAACAAUAUAUUUAAAUUUUAAAGUCAAAGAACUAUUGACUAACUCAAAUCAAAUUAAAUUAAAAGGUUGGAUAGUACGUAAAAUCAAAAUUUUGAAAGAUUAGGUAGCUAUUUCAAAAUAGCUCACAAUUUAAAAGAAGUUCAAUACGUUUUAUCUUAAUAAUAUGAGAGCCACGCAGGCGGCAAAAAUGUUGAUAGUUGGUACCUGAACUUUCAAGUUUGAAGUCUAGUUACUUUAUAUUUUUAGCUAAAUUUAUUUCUAAAUAAAUAAAAAAAAUAAAUAGCAUCUACCUUUUUUAGAAAAAGAUAAUGUUGUCAUGAGGGCCCAAUCCCAAUAUCUUUUGAAAUACUAUGGGAGCUCAUAUCUCUCUCUCUCUCUCUCUCUCUCUCUCUCUCUAACAAAUGCUUGGGAAUCACUUUAUAAAAAGGUUGCUUAAAGAGUUGGCCACAAUGGAGAACCAACACAUUUAGCACAUGAUAUGUCUAAGGCAUCUCUAUGAUCUCUAUAUAUCUUAUUUAGUGGAUAAACCAAAAUUAAUCAACCAAGAUUUCUCUCUCUCUCUCUCUCUCUCUCUCUCUCUCUCUCUCUCUAAUAUUAAUUAUAUAUAUAUCUAUACUAUAUAUAAAGUCGUAUAUUCAAAUUUGGGUCUGUCGACAGACUAUUUUUCGCGGAAAAAUUAGUGCUCAUUUUUCUCUUUCCGUAAAAAUUUUAAUAUAAGAAUAAAAAUAGAAUAGAAACGCAAUGAAUAGUAAGUUCUCAAUAACAAGAUUACUGAUGUAUAAAAUCCUAAAAUAUAAAUUUUUCUAUUUAAUUUAAAAGUAAGUUUUCUAUAACAAAUUAGGGCUGUAAAAAUCUAUAAAAGAUAGUUUUCUAUUUUAUUUUAAAUAUCUUUUUUAGAUAUUAUCUAUUUAAUUUCAAAAUAUAUUUUCUUUUUAAAUAACGGAUUUUAUUUUUCUAUUUAAUUUCAAAUUUAUUUCCUAACAGAUUUUAUUUUUCUAUUUAAUUUCAAAGUAAUUUUGCAUAGAUAUUGUUAAUUAUUUAUCAUUUAAAGCAUAAUCUUUCUUAAUAGCUGAUUUAUUAUUUAAAUUUUUUAGAUACAUAUUUGGGAAUCAAUUAAAAUAUGGCCUAAAAUUAAAAAAUAUUUAAAAAAUUAUAACUUUUCUAAUAAUUAUACGUGUAUUUGCACGUACAUUUUACGUGUGUAUUAUAUAUAUUAUUUAUAUUAAUAUAUUAUAUUAUAUAUUAUAUUAUAUAUAUAUAUAAAUUGCACUAUGUAGGAAGAGAAUCAAGUCUAAGUUGAUUUUGUUCAAAGGUGGUGGAGCAUGGAAUAUAUGCACCUUUGUUGUUUCCUAUGUUUUGCUCUAACAUUCAUUCGUUUACUUUUAUGAGUAAACAUGUGAAAUAUUAGUAGAGGCGUGCAAUUUUGACCGAUUUUUAUAUUGACAUUUUUGCUUUUUUAUCGCUAACUACUAUUCAAAAUUUUUAAAUUUGUUUUAAAAUUACCAAAAUUAAUGCUCUUCUUAUUCCCAAAUCCUAUUAGUAAAUUUUAAAAGUUUGAAAAUAUUUAAUUUUUUUAAAAAAAUCAAUAAGAAUAUUUUGAUCAAUCAGGAAUAUAUUAGAUAUUUUUAAAGUUUUGAAGGGUAUGUUAGAUAUUAUCUUUUUUACCUUUUGUUUGAAAUCAUCCAAAUAAACAUUUAUGCCUCUAGAGUAGAAAAGGUUGCUUAUUAUUAAAUUGACUUUUCCGAUAACAUGGUAUCUGAGUUAAUCUUAAGUUUUUCAUUUUUAGGAUGUUCCCGAAGUUUUAUCUAAACCUGAAUUCAAAUUGGAUGGGUUUACUCGAAGCUCAACAGAUAUAAAUUCAAAUACGGGGAUAAAAAAGCCAAUACUGAUAAAUGAUAGCGGUUCCCUAGGGUUGAGUGGGUGGUUGGUUAAAUAGUAUGAUUUGAUGGAUGAAAAUGAUUAAUGGAAUAAAUCUAAGGGUCGAAAAAUUAUGAGUAUAAAAAAGUCAAUACUUAUAAAAGUAUAGUAGUCAGACUAUAUAUAUAUAAAACUAUAUAUAUAUAUAUAUAUUUAGUUUACACCUAAUUAACCCAAUUUCAAACCCCAUAAGAAUUUGAAUUAGUUUCACAUUAUGUAAUAUAUAUAUGAAUACUUUGAUGGUAUAUUUGAAUUUAUAUUUAGAUUUUAAUUUUAUAUGCUUCUAAAUAUGGUAGGAAGAAAAAACUAUUAUGGGUUUUAAGUUUUCGAGUUCGAAAUUGGAUUUUGGAUUUUUGAUCAAAUUCAGUUUUGAACAACAAUUUUCAAAAUCCUUCCGGUUUGAAUUCGGAUUCAAAUUUGAUUAUUGAUUUUGAAUUCAAAUUUUUAAAAAUUCGUCCCGAAUCUGUCCUGUUGACAUCUCUAGUAAAAAAAACAUGCGCACGCGCACACACACAUUUAGUACUAAUUCUCCUCAAAAAAAAAACAAGGGGGAAAGGAAAAGGCAAUGCAUGCAAAGGGGCCAAAGACAAGAAGAACACAUACAAAAGCAUAUUUAAUUGAACAUAAGUCCUAGUAAUCUAGGCCUUAUCUAGCUAACAACAAGGUUAAUAUUUUACACAUUUAACAACAAGGUUAAUAUUUUACACAUUUAUUUCCUUUUCAUUAGAUGGAAGGUACCAUCAUCCUUGGCUUAACAAAAGCAACAAGCAACCACCCAUUUUGGAAUCAUCACCUUGACUUGCCAUGCCCCUAAAACAACAUAACUAAUGAGUGUUGAACCUAAUAAUAAUAGAAUAAUAGAGGAAAUGACAAGCCACACACACACCCAUAUUCACAAAGAUAUUUUCAAGGUACAAAGUGGAUGGCAUUAAUAAGUAUUAGGUUGUUUUUCACUUUCGCUAUUCAGGACUUUUUUGGUUCACCUACGAUUAUAAAAUCGAAAUAAAAUUCAUUCAUUUUAAUAGUUGUUGUUUAUUUUACAUAGAUUAGAGUUCGAUUUUCAUUCCAUUUUGGAAUAGAAAUGAUCAAAUCUAACUUUGAAUUUUGAGUUGGCCUAUUCUAUAGUAAACCACUGGAACCCUCUCCCACAAGUACCUCCUCUUCCUUCAUCACUCUUUUCUUUCUAAAUCAAAAUCUAGACGUCACAUACACGGAGAAGAGAUACAGAACACGAUACAAUUCGAACAUGGCGAUUCAAUAGUUUCCAAAAUUAGGAUACGGAUAUAGAGAUAAUAUGAAUAUCGCUAAUAAACUAUAAAAUUAUUAAUAUAAAUAUAUAUAUAUUAUAUUUAAAAUAUUAAUUUUACUAAAAUACUUUUAUAUUUCUCGUAUGAAUUAAAGUUAAUAACAUUCUCAUUGAUAAUUUAUACAAUUUUAGAAAAGAAAUUCUUUACUAUACAUAAUUUAUUUAUAUUGUUCAAAAAAAUUUUAUAUCCAUUUAUUAAAAAUUUAAAAUGUUUAUUAUCUUACAUUGUAUAUGCAUAAAAAAGUAAUAUAUAUAUAUAACAUGGUGCUUGUAAAAGCACCAAGUACUUGGUGCUUUUAAAUUUUUUACCGUUAGAUCUACAUUUUUUAUCAUUUUCAACCGUUAGGUUAUACUAUUCAACCAACCACAUACUCAACCCUAGAGAGUCCACAUCAUCCUAACCGCACAUCUCUUAAUCUAAUGGCCAAAAAUCUACAAGCACCAAUAACUUGAUACUUUUAAAUACUAAAAUAAGUCCGGAUAUUACAUUAUUCCAUAUCUCAAUAUAUAUCCAAUUUGUAACGCAAAAAAUAUAUAAAAGUUUAGAUAAAACGAUAUCUCCUGUAUUGCUAGUACUAUCAAAAUUGUGCAUGAUAGUAAUUUAUAUGAUUUUUAUUACAUUACUAAUCAAUAACUUUAUCUGCAAAUUUAUUUUUAUAAAAUUUCAUAAUUGAAUUCAAUAAUUAUCCAAAUAGCUUGACCAAUUUGAAAUAAUGAUAAAGUGCAGAGAGAUAAUUGAUAUAUUUUUUUUAUAAAGAAAAGUAAUUGAGAUAAGCACUAAAGUGUUAAGAAGACUUUUUAUAAUUUAGCUUAAAUGGAAAGGCAGGUGUUCUUUGGAAUAUACCUGACCAGUUAGCAGGUAUAUAUAUAGGGUAGAAUUAAUUAUGGCUAGAUGUUAGGCUGAUCACAUUAGGGUUAGCAAUUUAGCCCGUUAUUCGCGAGCUAGCCCAUGUUCGGCUCGAAAUAAUCUCGAGAUUGAUCGCUCAUUUUAAUAAACGAGCUAAAGAAGAGCUGAAAAUCUUAAUGAGCUCGCUCGUGUUCGUCUCUCUCUCUCCCCCUCUCUCUCUAUGUAUAUAUAUUUGGAUGAUAGGCCAACCCAAAUGUACAAAAACCUAUAUUUUAUAAAUUUUAAUUAUUAGAUUAAAAUUCUAAUUUUCUUUCAAACUUUUCACCCAAUAGUAGAUCUGACGAUCUAGUUAAUUUGCUGUUGUGAGCCGGUUCAUGUUCGGCUCGUUAAUAAACAAGCAGAACACGAGCUGAAUUUUUCAGCUCGAUAUUUUACCAAGUCAACUCGUGUUCGGCAUUGUUUGAUAAACGAACGAACACAAGCCGGCCCAACUCACUCGUAUUCAGCUCGUUGACUGUCCUAGUUAACAUAUUAAAGAUCUUCUACUAAUUAUCUUCUGCUCAGGCACAAUUAUUAAGUCUAACCUAUCCAACAUUAUAUACCGCAAUAUCUAAUCACAGCUAUUAAAUAUAGAACUAUUCCCAAGCCUUUGGAAUGUCACAAUAAUGAUAGGUAUUUAGUCAAAUAUGCACUAAUGAAUAAUGUGGGGUUUAGUUCAUCCUAUAAUUAUCCAAAACAUAAUUGGCCCCACUUUAGGUUGUAAUGCUAUUUUUUAGGAGAAAUAUUAUAUCAAAGUACUACUUAUUUAUAGAUUUGUUCUACAGCAAAAUUAGAAAUAUUGAAGUAAAAUUAUGAUGCUGAGAUUUGAAAUAUUAUUAUUAUUAUUAUUAUUAUUAUUAUUAUUAUUAUUUUACUUUCUGCUUAAAAACUACAUUUUGUACCAAAUAAUCAGAGGGGGAUAAUAUCUAAUAUAUCCUUCAAAACUUCAAAAUUUUUUUACUUAUCUCGGGAGUACUAAAAUAACCUUAUUGAUUUUAAAAAUUUCUGCAAAUAUUUCUAUUUUUUCUACGGUUUACUAAUGAGAUUGAAUUUUAAAAAAAUAUUUUGAUAAUUUCAGAAUAAAUUUAAAAAUUUUAAAUAGUAGUAAGGAAGAUGUAGUAUCUCUCGAGUUUUGCAGGUGUGAGAUCUCAGCAUCUGAGACUUGUCGACACAUCUGGAGAGUGUCGGAACAAGUCUAAGUCGUUUUGGCACAAAAUAGACGCAAAACGGACUCAGUGUGAUGCCAGAGCAGAAUUUUGGCACUGAAAUCUGUAAAUUACAGAUUGUCAGCAUUGAGUACCGGUACCCCUGUAUAGAAUUUUUUAUUGCUGUUCUUGGGUUGCGAAGGCUGAUACGGUGUACUGGUACGACAUCGGUUUGCUAUCAAUACUCCAGGGUAGGUGAGGGGCCUUUUGGUCUUUUGAUGCACCGUUCAAACCAAGGCUUCCUCAGCCUUUUUAUACGUACAGAGAGCAUGGAGGAGGGGUUUGGCUGGCUGUUUCCUCUCUUUCUCUAGAUUUUGAUCGUGGUGGAGGUGGUGUUCGUGGCUCGAGCUCGGUUCGACGUCGACGGUUGUGCCGGGGAGUCGUUCGAGCGUACGAGUGUCGUGGUAGCACCGUUGGAGGCCGGGCGAGCACGUGUUUCUUCUUCUUCCGAGUUCUCGCCGUCGUGGAUUAGCGUUUCGAGGUGGGUUGAUGUUACCGGAAUUUUCAAAUUUCCUCCUAAGCCUAAUUGUUGUCGGCAUGUGUUUGGCUUCGUAGAGCAUGUUUAGUAGCUCGAUUCGUCGAUUUGCAUUGUUCUUAAAUGAAAUCUGAAUUGGAGCUUAGAGUGCUAGUUUUAUUAUACAUGUUGAACUUGGAUUUGACUUAGGAGAAAACUAUAGGUUCUACAUUGUCAUUUUUUAAAAACUAACAGAUUUAGCUUUAGGAGCUGUAGUUAGUUUGUAUCGCCGCAAUUUGUACGCGGUGGAUAUAAAGAAUUAUGUAGAAUGAAAUUACGCUCUUGCUGGGGUGCCGAAUUUAUUUUUACAGUAGUGUAUAUACUGUUCCGGGCUGUCAGGUGCCGUCGCGGUUGAUGGUUGAUCUAGAUUUCAGUAUUUUUCAUCAGAUUGUGCCGAGGGCACGCGAGUUAUGGUUGUUAGACCAGUUAGACCCUUCUUCUUUGACUAUAGCCUGUGAGAGCCUGAUUGAGCUCAGGAGAGAUACGCUUGCAUACUCGGUUGGGUAGCGCCCACGAGUGCCACUCCGGAGUCGGGCUUUGUGCUUUUGCGUUGUUGUCGGUUUGUCUUGUUUGGACUUGCUCUCCAUUGACGACCCAGUGUGUUGAUAGUAGUGUAGCUUCGACAGGCGGGACGGGUGUGUUCACAGUCCCUAAUGAGAUUGGGUCAGUGAUUGCAUUUUCUACAGAUAGUUAAUAUUGGAUCAUGAUAGUAUAGUAGCAUAUAGUUGUAGAAUUGUUUCAGCUUUCUUUACUAUCCUUGAGCAUACUUCUGUAGAGUUACUGGGUGAGCCGUUGAAGUCGGUAGCGGUACCCACUGAGGACUAUUUCGUUUUGCAGUAGUUCUCACACCCAGUUGUUGAACUCUUUUUGCAGAGUCUUCUUCUUCGGCUGCUGCUAUUGCGGAUACAGAUCAUGAAAAGGGAGUCGCGAGUUAGAUCCCUUCCCGUUUUGUUGCUGAUCUAGAGAUAUACCAGCUACAGGUAGUGUUGGUUUUUGGUUCUUGUACAUACUGAUAUUAGAUCCUCGCUGGAGCAAGUGUUAUGUAUUUGGAGACUAUGUAUGUAUAGAGAACCUGAUGUUAUUUAUACAUGUUUCAGUUUAGCAGAUCUAUACUACUAGUUGUAGUUUUGUAUGAUUACAGGUACAGAUACAGCUAUCGCUUCGUAUAUAGGGAAAAUUUCUUUGUAUAUGGCUGAUUUAUCGGCCUGCCCGGGGAAACGAAUAAUCCGGAAUAUGACAGAAGAAAUAAGCAAAAGCCUCUAAUCUGAGAUACCCUGCAAUUGUUAAAACAGAAGUCAUAUCAAAUUUAAAUAAGACGAUUCCACAUUAUUAAGUGUAGAAAAAAAAAUAUUUUUUUUCUAUGUUCUUUCUUAAGCUUAAAGGUAUAGAAAAUAUACAUAAAUAGAAAAGAAAGAUAGGAGUCUAUUUUUUAAUCCAACUAUAUUAAAACUUUGGGUUUUAAUUAAAUUAAAGCAAGAUCAUCNUAUAUAUAUAUAUAUAUAUAUAUAUAUAUAUAUAUAUAUAUAUAUAUAUAUAUAUAUAUAUAUAUAUAUAUAUAUAUAUAUAUAUAUAUAUAUAAUGAGAUAUGCCAUAAAUUCGUGUCAAAUGCACGUUGACGUGUUCCCAUCGGACACGAGUGUGACACGAACACCCACAUGUCCGACAUGAACAUACAAGGUUUAUAGAAGUACCCAUAAUACAUAAACAAAAAUUCUCUAUCCAAACCCUAGAUGUCUAUCAUGAUAUCUAUUCUAAUAAGGAAUCAAAUAUUUUUAGAUGAUUCGUCAUUCCAUUUUUCAUUCUAAUAUAAUCCGAUUCCAUCUCCUAUUUCUAUUUCAAUAAUAAACCAAACAUGCCCUUAGAACUAUCUUAGGCUUUUCCUUUGCUUGGAAGAUCGAAUGCAAGAUGGAGUAAUGAAAGUGCAAGAUGUGGCAAGAUGGUAUUAAAUUGAAGGCUAACGUCCGGUCUCAAUUACUCUCCUGUAUUAAAAAUUAUAUCAAUUAUCACUUUGCACUUUGUCAUCAUCUCAAAUAGAUUCAAAAAUUAUAAAGAGUAGCAAGUUAGGCAGCAAAACUUUACUAAAAUAAGUCGGGAUAUUACAUUAUUCCAUAUCUCAAUAAUCCAAUUUGUAACGCAAAAAAUAUAUAAAAGUUUAGAUAAAACGAUAUCUCCUGUAUUGCUAGUACUAUCAAAACUGUGCAUGAUAGUAAUUUUUAUGAUUUUUAUUACAUUACUAAUCAAUAAUUUUGUCUGUAAAUUUAUUUUUAUAUAAUUUUAUAGUUGAAAAUUCAACAAUUAUCUAAAUAGCUUGACCAAUUUGAAAUAAUGAUAAAGUGCAGAGAGAUAAUUGAUGUAAUAUUUUAUGAAGAAAAGUAAUUGAGAUAAGCACUAAAGUGCAAGAAGACAUUUUAUAAUUUAGCUUAAAUGGAAAGGCAGGUGUUCUUUGGAAUAUACCUGAUCAGUUAGCAGGUAUGUAUAUAGGGUAGAAUUAAUUAUGGCUAGAUGUUAGGCUGAUCACAUUAGGGUUGGCAAUUUAGCCCGUUAUUCGCGAGCUAGCCCAUGUUCGGCUCGAAAUAAUCUCGAGAUUGAUCGCUCAUUUUAAUAAACGAGCUAAAGAAGAGCUGAAAAUCUUAAUGAGCUCGCUCGUGUUCGUCUCUCUCUCUCUCUCUCUCCCCCUCUCUCUCUAUGUAUAUAUAUUUGGAUGAUAGGCCAACCCAAAUGUACCAAAACCUAUAUUUUAUAAAUUUUAAUCAUUAUAUUAAAAUUCUAAUUUUCUUUCAACUUUUCACCCAAUAGUAGAUCUGAUGAUCUAGUUAAUUUGCUGUUGUGAGCUGGUUCAUGUUCAGCUUGUUAAUAAACAAGCAGAACACGAGCUGAAUUUUUCAGCUCGAUAUUUUACCAAGUCAACUCGUGUUCGGCAUUGUUUGAUAAACGAACGAACACAAGCCGGCCCAACUCACUCGUAUUCAGCUCGUUGACUGUCCUAGUUAACAUAUUAAAGAUCUUCUACUAAUUAUCUUCUGCUCAGGCACAAUUAUUAAGUCUAACCUAUCCAACAUUAUAUACCCCCAUAUCUAAUCACAGCUAUUAAAUAUAGAACUAUUCUCAAGCCUUUGGAAUGUCACAAUAAUGAUAGGUAUUUAGUCAAAUGUGCACUAAUGAAUAAUGUGGGGUUUAGUUCAUCCUAUAAUUAUCCAAAACAUAAUUGGCCCCACUUUAGGUUGUAAUGCUAUUUUUUAGGAGAAAUAUUAUAUCAAAGUACUACUUAUUUAUAGAUUUGUUCUACAGCAAAAUUAGAAAUAUUGAAGUAAAAUUAUGAUGCUGAGAUUUGAAAUAUUAUUAUUAUUAUUAUUAUUUUACUUUCGGCUUAAAAACUACAUUUUGUACCAAAUAAUCAGAGGGGGAUAAUAUCAAAUAUAUCCUUCAAAACUUCAAAAUUUUUUUAUUUAUCUUGGGAGUACUAAAAUAACCUUAUUGAUUUUAAAAAAUUUCUGCAAAUAUUUCUAUUUUUUCUACUGUUUACUGAUGAGAUUGAAUUUUAGAAAAAUAUUUUGAUAAUUUCAGAAUAAAUUUAAAAAUUUUAAAUAGUAGUAAGGAAGAUGUAGUAUCCCUGGAGUUUUGCAGGUGUGAGAUCUCAGCAUCUGAGGCUUGUCGACACAUCUGGAGAGUGUCGGAACAAGUCUGAGUCGUUUUGGCGCAAAAUAGACCCAAAACGGACUCAGUGUGAUGCCAGAGCAGAAUUUUGACACUGAAAUCUGUAAAUUACAGAUUGUCAGCAUUGAGUACCGGUACCCCGGUAUAGAAUUUCUGAUUGCUGUUCUUAGGUUGCGAAGGCUGAUACGGGGUACCGGUACGACAUCGGUUUGGUAUCAGUACUCCAGGGUAGGUAAGAGGCAUUUUGGUCUUUUGAUGCACCGUUCAAACCAAGGCUUCCUCAGCCUUUUUAUAUGUACAGAGAGCAUGGAGGAGGGGUUUGGCUGGCUGUUUCCUCUCUCUCUCUCUAGAUUUUGAUCGUGGUGGAGGUGGUGUUCGUAACUCGAGCUCGGUUCGACGUUGACGGUUGUGCCGGGGAGUCGUUCGAGCGUACGUGUGUCGUGGUAGCACCGUUGGAGGCCGGGCGAGCGCAUGUUUCUUCUUCUUCCGAGUUCUCGCUGUCGUGGAUUAGCGUUUCGAGGUGGGUUGAUGUGACCGGAAUUUUUAAAUUUCCUCCUAAGCCUAAUUGUUGUCAGUAUGUGUUUGGCUUCGUAGAGCAUGUUUAGUAGCUCGAUUCGUCGAUUUGCAUUGUUCUUAAAUGAAAUCUGAAUUGGAGCUUAGAGUGCUAGUUUUAUUAUACAUGUUGGAUUUGGAUUUGACUUAGGAGAAAACUAUAGGUUCUACAUUGUCAUUUUCUAAAAACUAACAGAUUUAGCUUUAGGAGCUGUAAUUAGUUUGUAUCGCCGCAGUUUGUACGUGGUGGAUAUAAAAAAUUAUGUAGAAUGAAAUUACGCUCGUGCUGGGGUGCCGAGUUUAUUUUUACAGUAGUGUAUAGACUGUUCCGGGUUGUAGGGUGCCGUCGCGGUUGACGGUUGAUCCAGAUUUUAGUAUUUUGCAUCAGAUUGUGCCGAGGGCACGCGAGUUAUGGUUGUCAGACCAGUUAGACCCUUCUGCUUUGACUAUAGCCUGUGAGAGCCUGAUUGAGCUCAGCAGAGAUACGCUUGCAUACUCGGUUGGGUAGCGCCCACGAGUGCCACUCCGGAGUCGGGCUUUGUGCUUUUGCGUUGUUGUCGAUUUUGUUGGCCCAGUGGCCCUAAUCAUCUAUUAGAUUUUGAUGAUAACAAAUAAUCACGAUUAUUGGACUAAUCUCUUUAUCUUGAGUCUUGUGUUUUAGAUCUCUCUAUCUUCAAAAAGGAUUCAAGAUGGGCAAUAUUCUGGCACCAAGCUUCACCUCUUGAAGCUGUGUCUGCUUCUUUUGUCAAACAGACAAACUCNGGCGGGGACGUAGGCAAAGUGCCGAACCUCGAAACAAAUUGAUCGUGUGUUUUUCGAGUUUGCAUUUCUUUUAUUUGCAUCGGUUUUUUAAUUUGCUUGAUUAUUUGGAUUUUUAUUUUAGAAACCUAAUUCACCCCCCCUCUUAGGUUGCCAUUUUGAUCCUCAGAUUUGUCUUGUUUGGACUUGCUCUCCACUGACGACCCAGCGUGUUGAUAAUAGUGUAGCUUCGACAGGCGGGACGGGUGUGUUCACAGUCCCUAAUGAGAUUGGGUCAGUGAUUGCAUUUUCUACAGAUAGUUAGUAUUGGAUUAUGAUAGUAUAGUAGCAUAUAGCUGUAGAAUUGUUCCAGUUUUCUUUACUAUUCUUGAGCAUACUUCUGUAGAGUUAGUGGGUGAGCCAUUGAGGUCGGUAGCGGUACCCACUGAGGACUAUUUCGUUUUGCAGUAGUUCUCACACCUAGUUGUUGAACUCUUUUUGCAGAGUCUUCUUCUUCGGCUGCUGCUGUUGCGGAUACAGAUCGUGAAAAGGAAGUCGCGAGUUAGAUCCCUUCCCAUUUGCUGCUGAUCUAGAGAUACACCAGCUAUAGGUAGUAUUGGUUUUUAGUUCUUAUACAUACUGAUAUUAGAUCCUCGCUGGAGCAAGUGUUAUGAAUCUGGAGACUAUGUAUGUAUAGAGAACCUGAUGUUAUUUAUACAUGUUUCAGUUUAGCAGAUCUAUACUACUAGUUGUAGUUUUGUAUGAUUACAGGUAUAGGUACAGCUAUCGCUUCGUAUACAGAAAAAAUUUCUUUGUAUAUGGCUGAUUUGUCGGCGUGCCCGGAAAAACGAAUAAUCCGGGAUAUGACAGAAGAAAUAAGCAAAAGCCUCUAAUCUGAGAUACCCUGCAAUUGUUAAAACAGAAGUCAUAUCAAAUUUAAAUAAGACGAUUCCACAUUAUUUAGUGUAGAAAAAAAAAAAAUUUCUAUGUUCUUUCUUAAGCUUAAAGGUAUAGAAAAAUGAGUAGGGCUAGAAUACUUUUACAAGUAUCACCCAAGUGAUACUUGUGUGUUUUUAGCCAUUGGAUCUACUUUUUGAUUACUAAUAGUCCUUGGAUCAAACACUAUUCUACCUACCACCACCUACCACCAUCAUCUCAACCUCACAUCUCUCCAUCCAAGGGCUAAAAACACACAAGUAUCACUUGGAUGAUACUUUUACAAGUAUUCUAGCUCUACUCUAGAAAAAUAUACAUAAAUAGAAAACAAAGAUAGGAGUCUAUUUUUUAAUCCAACUAUAUUAAAACUUUGGGUUUUAAUUAAAUUAAAGCAAGAUCAUCCUUAUCUAGCAAACUUUAUUAUGUUCACAGUAUCCAAGUACAGCAAACUUAGUAAUUAAUUGGUGACACAAUUUGGAAGCAUCCAAACCCUAGGCACAAAACAUUGAUUACUUCAAUAAAUUCACUUUGGUUCCACCACCACUACUGCAUAGUGCAGUUGUUUGGUUCUUAGGAUGAUCCCAGAUUUGUUCGAAAUUGUUAAAUAACAGAAGCUUAAGCAGAUUAAAAAAAUUUGAUAUUUUUGGACUCAAAAUUUUUUGAUAUGUUUAACGAUAUUUUUCACGUUUGGACUCAAAAUUUUUGGAUAUACACAUGAUGUGAACUUAAAUUAAAUGAGAUAAAAUUAAUUAUUUUCAGAACUUGGAGUGACUCGAAUUCGUGCUCUAAUACUAUAUUAAAUAAUGUGAAACAACUGUUAUUUUUUAAAAUUCAACAUUCCUCUGAAACAGUACAGUACAAAUUCAUCUCUUUCUCUCUGGUUCUUCAUUUUUUUUGUAGAAAAAAUUAUUUUUCUUUAUAGUUUAUUUUUUAUAUAUAUAGAGUAGGGCUACUGUGCUCUCAGGAGCACGGAGGCCUCCGUGCUCUUGAGCCGUUUUCGAUGAUGAAAUUUUCGAAUCGACGAUCGGCUCCGUUAGACUUGAUCUAGCAUAUUUGAAGUUUCUAGAAAAUAAUUUUUGCGAUUUUUCGAUAUCAUUUACCUAGCAAUCGAAAAGAUUCAAAAUCUAUAAUUUUUAACGGCUAAAAAUAAAAAUCCUAUAAAAAGUGGUGAUAUAGCACUAAAAUUUUCGAUCAGAAAUAUUGAUUUUGUUGUAGAUAGUAUAAAGAAUUUUGUAUCAAAAUUUCAUCUGAUUUGAAUACUUCUACACCGUUAAACUUAAAAACGGCAGAUAUCAACCAUUAAAAAUUAUUGAUUUUGAAUCCUUUCGAUCACUAGGUAAAUGAUAUCAAAAAAUAGCAAAAAAUAUUUUCUAGAAACUUCAAAUGCGCUAGAUCAAGUCUAACGGAGCCGAUCGUCGAUUCGAAAAUUUCAUCAUCGAAAACAGCCUCACGGUCCCGGUUGUUCCUGGAGAGCAGCAGUCAGCCUGCUAUAAGUAUUAUAUAUAUUAUAAUAUAAUUAUAGAUAUCCGGCUGGAGAUAUCUAUCGAUAGUACCGAAGGAUUUGGUGCUAUCUGAGUUUGUUCCCGCUAGAUUUUAACCCUCAUGAAUUAAUUUUAACAUCCGUUCGCAUUAUUAAACUUAUUCAACCAAACCAUCUGCACUCAACCCUAGGGGGCCCAACAGCAUUCGCUAGACUCACCUAUUUCUCAGAUCUAAGGCGAAAAAAUGCCAAUACACAUAUUGGUGCUUUUUGAUAGUACUCCAGCCCACGUUCAUAGUAUGAGUCCGGUUGGAUCUAAUCGGAUAAGUACCAAGGAUUUGGUGUUAUCGAUUUCCACCGUUAGAUUAACCAUCUGAUUAUUUUUAACCCGUUAGAAGUUAUAUUAUUCAAUCAAAUCAACCAACCACUCGGGUCACUCACCCUAUGGGGUCCGACAACAUCCUAACCGGACCUAUUUCUCAAUCUAAGGCUAAAAAAUCAAUAGCACCAAUAGCUUGGUGCUUUUAUAGUAUGUCCAACCUAGUAUAUAUAUAUUAAAUAUUAUAUAUAAUAUAGAGUGAGGUGCUACUAUGCUAUCGGAAGGCAACGGAGCAUUCCGUGCUUCCAGUCUCGUUUCGAUGUUUGCGACGUUCGAAUCGUCGAUCGCCUCCGUGUAAACUUGAUCUAGAGUAUUGAAGUAGCUAGAAAAUAAGUUUUAUGAUUUUACGAUAUCAUUUGCUAGUGAACAAGGCUCAAAUCAACAGGCUGGAAAUAAAGCUGUACAAAUGUAAUGAAUAUAAAUUAAAAAGUUUAAAUAAAUAAUAUGAGUCUGUUUUUAUAUAGUAUAAUAGAAUUUUCUAUGCAAAUUUCACGUGAUUUGGAAUAUUUCUCAAAAAACCGUUAAACUUGCAAACGGCUCACUACGGGCUAUUAAAUUUAUUGAUUUUGAGCCCAUUCGAUCAUCGAGGCAAAUGAUAUCAGAAAAAUAAUAAAAAUUUUAUUUUCCUAGGUCACCAAAUACUCUAGAUCAAGUUAAACGGAGCCGAUCGACGGAUUCGAAAGUCGCAGACAAUAGAAUCAGCCUGGAAGCACGGAAGCCCGUGCUCUCGAUAGGCAUGUAGCCUGCACUCUAUAUAAUAUAAUACUAGAUGAGAGAGAGAGAUAGGAAAAAAAUAGAGAAGAGAGAGACGGAGGAGAGAAGAGAGAGAUGAGAGAGAGAGAGAGAAGUUAGCUAGAAUACCUAGGUCGGAUAGCAAACGGGUUCCGUUGCCACCCAUUUGUUUUCGAUGAUAGAGCCUCCAAAUCGACGAUUGGCACCGUUGAACAUAAUCUAUACUACUUGAAGUGUUUAGAAAUCAAAUUUCAAAUCUUUUUGACAUCAUUUGUCUAAUGAUCAAAGGGUUUCAAAAUUUGUAAUUUUAAUUGUCGAUAUGAGGCGUUUUCUCGUUUAACGGUGUAAAGAUACUCAAAUCAAUUGAAUUUUUGUUAGAAAAUUCUUUAAACUAUUUAAAACAAGAUCUAUACUCUUGAUCUUGAUUACAAGACUCCUAUCAUCAUUUUUUAAAAAAUAUUCAUUUUCAGCCGUUCAUUUUUGUGUCCACUCGAUGGAUAAGAGAACAAUAUUGAAAAUGUAUGAAAUUUGAUUUCCAAACACUUUAAGUGGUAUAGAUCAUGUUUAACGGUGCCGAUUGUCGAUUUGGAGGCUCCAUCAUCGAAAACAAAUGGGUGGCAACGGAGCCCGUUUCCUAUCGAUAGUAUUCUAACUCAACUAUAUAUAUAUAUAUAUAUAUAUAUAUAUAUAUAUAAAGAGAGUACAUAAUAUAGUUGGUAGGUAUUCAAUUGCCACCUAAAGAGGUAGGAUGUUGGAUCUCUUAUUAGUAGACCCGUCAUUUUCUAUUUAUAUCCGCGUAUACUCAUAGAUUACUUAUAAAUUUGCAGGUAUGAAUAUUAAUUUUUCUUAUCCAAAAAAUUAUGCGUAACACGAAUGAGUAUCCGUUAAAAUUGUGGACAUUUUUUGUCUAUCCACUUAAAAAUUCUAAAUCUAACUACUCUUCUUCUUCUUUUCUUUCUGUGGCCCUCUCUCUUACCACGCCGCCUCUUUUGCCGCGCUGUUCUACCACCCUUCGGCUGCCUGCUUUACAUGUAAAAUAUCUUUACAUAUAGUUUAUGCGUUUUAAAAUUUAUAUUAUUUAUUAUAUAUUAUGAUAUUUCAAAUAAUAAAUUAUAUUAUAAUCUUUUAAAAGUUAUGUAUAUGUAAUUUGCAUUUGAAAAAUAUAAGAAUUAAAUAAAAAAAAAAGAAGAAUAUCUUACAGGUAAUCCGCAUAUCCACUCACCUGUUCACAGACGGAUAUAGAUAAAGAUACAGACUAUCUAAAAAUUUGCUUUAUAUUUAUAUAAUCUGCGAGUAAAAUAAUCCAUCUGUCAUUUAUUUAAUUCGUCUGUUUGUCGGGCCUACCUACCUACCUACCUACCUACGAGGGGGCAGACUAAAAUUGACCAUCUUAUAAUUAGCCAUUCAAACAUGGUUUCAAUGAAGAAGUUAUGUGUGAGUGGACAACUUCCCAACCCCUUUACAAUGACUCAUUUGACCCCAUUUUCAAUGCCCUCCCCAAAUUUAAUUAGGAGAGCCCUCAAAAUGAGUGAUGGAGAGAACUAUUAGGUGAUUCCCCCCUUGCCAAAGAACCCAUUUUUAACCACAACCCACCAAUAAUCAUUGUAGAGAGAGAUAAAAAAAAUAUAAGCCCAAAUAAAGAGGGGGAAGAGAGAGAAAAAGUAGGAAGAGGACAGGUGUUCAUUCUUGAUUAGGCCAUGAAGAGAGAGAGAGAGAGAGGGGAGAAGAAGAUAAGCCCAUCCUCCAUCCCUAUUUCCCAACCAAGUAACCAACCAUAUAAAUCCCCACCCCAUGAAUUAGAAUCUUUGUUCCUCUCUCUCUCUCUCUCUCUCUCUCUCUCUCUAUCCCCCCUCUCACCCAACCCCUCCCCAAAAUCCAAUUUUUAAGAAAGAGGGAGGAAGGAGACUCUCUCUCUUCUCUCUCUCUCUCUCUAAAGAGGGAGGAAGGAGAGGGAUUUGGGUGUUGAUCUCUCUCUCUCUCUCUCUUCUUCAACCCCAAAAUCCAAUUUUUAUAAGAUUGGGUGUUAAAGAGAGAGAGAGAGAGAGUGUGUGUGUGUGAGGAGAGAGAAAAUAGGAGGGAUUUGGGUGUUGGUUGUUGAGGAGGAAGAAGAUCUUUGAUGAGCUAAAAAAGCUUUUGUAAGGUUUGUGGAGGGGGUGAGGUGUGGAAGGGUCCCCCACACUUCAUAUUGUUGUUUUCCCACACUAUCAUCCCCCCUCUCUAUCUCUCUCUACUUUCUCUCUCUACAAACCUUCUCAAUUUCCUCUCACUCCUAUUAAAACCACCCCCUCCUCCAAAGCUCCCUCCUUUGUGUUGUGUUGUGUUGUGUUGUGUUGUGUUAGGUUACACCCACUCCCAUCCACCCAUUUCCCAAACUAAGAUUUUGUUGGUGGUUUUUAGUUGCAACACCACCAUCCUCUUUGAUGUGAGAGAAAAAAAAAGGGGACCCAAAAACCCAAACCCAAUUCUUAGGAUUAUUAAUUAAUCCAUUAAAGUUCAAAAUCCUGAGAUUUCUUUUUUUUUUCUUAUUAUUUAUCCAAAAAAAAAAUUGGAAUUUUUGCAUCUGAUUGGUGUUUUUUUUUUUUUUUUU